Molecule: small RNA, 107 nt
Filed under: Marmota monax (woodchuck)
Lineage: Eukaryota; Metazoa; Chordata; Mammalia; Rodentia; Sciuridae
Source: RNAcentral
GCUGGGCGCGGUGGUGCACGCCUGUAAUCUCAGGGGCUUGGGAGGCUGAGGCAGGAGGAUCUCAAGUUCAAAGCCAUUCUCAGCAACUUAUUGAGACCCUGUCUAAA